GAAACUUUCAGUAGGACCCUGGGCAGUGGUAAAACCAACUACAUACUGUAAGAGCACAGUCUUAAGCAGCUGGAGCUGAGCUGAGGGCCAGGUUUACAAUGAAUUCCCACUGUUGAGACGGCUCCCUCUGCCCCACAAAACUAUAUUUCAAAAUGCCGAGAAGAUCUUUGCUUUCCUCACAAAAGAGCUGGAUGAACACAAGGCAACCUUUGUCCCAGGAGAGCACCGAGAUUUUAUUGAUGCAUAUCUAGACGAAAUGCAAAAG
Non-coding RNA from Pogona vitticeps (central bearded dragon), 265 nucleotides. The record is from RefSeq and is a predicted model, not a curated record. Lineage: Eukaryota; Metazoa; Chordata; Lepidosauria; Squamata; Agamidae.